AACGAACGCUGGCGGCAGGCUUAACACAUGCAAGUCGAACGCACCUUUCGGGGUGAGUGGCAGACGGGUGAGUAACGCGUGGGAAUCUACCCUUCUCUACGGGAUAGCUCCGGGAAACUGGAAUUAAUACCGUAUACGUCCUGAGGGAGAAAGAUUUAUCGGGUAAGGAUGAGCCCGCGUUGGAUUAGCUAGUUGGUGGGGUAAAGGCCUACCAAGGCGACGAUCCAUAGCUGGUCUAAGAGGAUGAUCAGCCACAUUGGGACUGAGACACGGCCCAAACUCCUACGGGAGGCAGCAGUGGGGAAUAUUGGACAAUGGGCGCAAGCCUGAUCCAGCCAUGCCGCGUGAGUGAUGAAGGCCCUAGGGUUGUAAAGCUCUUUCAGUGGGGACGAUAAUGACGGUACCAACAGAAGAAGCCCCGGCUAACUUCGUG
This 433-nucleotide ribosomal RNA is filed under the name uncultured bacterium. Its description in RNAcentral is "partial 16S ribosomal RNA". It matches the Rfam family "Bacterial small subunit ribosomal RNA", at positions 29 to 507 of the family's 1533-position model. The record is from RNAcentral.